Molecule: long non-coding RNA, 1208 nt
Filed under: Equus asinus (donkey)
Lineage: Eukaryota; Metazoa; Chordata; Mammalia; Perissodactyla; Equidae
Description: lncRNA (ENSEASG00005035776.1)
Source: RNAcentral
CUUAACAGGAUUUAGUGACUAACUGGAUGUAGAGAGUGGAUGAUGAAAGGUGGAAAGGAGUAAGUUCCAGAGUCCUAGCAUGUGAGAAUGAGUAGAUGAAGAUCCAUCAACCAGACUAGCGAUAUAAAAGGAAGAGUAUGUCUUAGAGGUGAAAUCAUGAUCAAUUUUGGACAUGCAGAGUGAGAGAUUUCUGAGAUUUUAUUCAGAGAACAUCUUCAAAGGGAUUCUUGGAAAAUUCAAGAUCAUCAGUCCAUAAACACCCAGCAGAGGAAGAUUUUCCCUAUAAAAUAUUUGAAUUCAAGGGAGAAACCUGGGAGCCACAAGAAAAAGAGAUUUUUACAAUGAAGAAUGACAGACUGGGAGACAAUCACCCGAAGAAAACAAGAUGCUGCUUAUGGGGAUCUGAAGAAAAGCACUCAAGGAUUCUUGAGACUAUGUCAUCUUUAGAACUGAAAUGGAAACUAAAAAUCAGCUAUUCAAAGACUCUUAAUCCACAGGAAAUCCAGCCUGAGGAAAGCCUACAUGGAGGAGAAAAGAUGAGAGAAAAUGAAAAGGAGCUGAAUGAAAGCCCUGGAAGAGCUAUAUCCGAAGCCAGGCUAUUUCUGGUCUUUUCAGAUACUUGAGCUAAUCAAUUCCAUUUGUUGUUUAAGAUAAUUUGAGUUGUAUUUUCUAUUUUUCAUAUCCAAAAAUACCCAAGGUGAUACACCAACACUAUAAAGUUCAAACUCAAAAUCUGGCAUAUGUCCACUCUCUAAUAACAACUAACCUAUUUCUCUCUAUAUUUUUCAGCACUUUCAAUAGAACUUCCUGCAAUGAUGGAAACGUUCUAUAUCUGUGCUGGCCAAUAGAGUAGUCACUAGCUACAGUUAAACAGCACCUGAAAUGUGACUAGUGUGGCUGAAGAAGUGAAUUUUUAGUUUAAUUUAAUUGGACACGUGUCUAGCAGCUAUCAUAUUGAACAGCACAACUCUAACCUAAUGAAAUUUUCCUUGAGUAUAACCCAGUCUUUCCACCUUCCUUUGCUUAGUUUGUCCUUUUUACCUGGAGUACCUGAUUGUCUGUCUUCACACAGAAGAAAUGUAGACAUCCUUAUAAGCCAUCCUUAUAAACACAGCCAUUACAAGUUCAAAUGUCUCCUAUUCUAUGACGUUUUUUUGAUCACACUAUGCAGAACUGUGAACUUCUCCAAUCUAUUACUUCUAUUUUCU